GCCUCGGUAGCGCAGUAGGCAAGCGCGUCUGUCUCAUAAUCUGAAGGUCGUGAGUUCGAUCCUCACCCGGGGCA
This 74-nucleotide transfer RNA is filed under the name Dermacentor silvarum. Its description in RNAcentral is "transfer RNA methionine (anticodon CAU)". It matches the Rfam family "tRNA". From Rfam's summary of the family: Transfer RNA (tRNA) molecules are approximately 80 nucleotides in length. Their secondary structure includes four short double-helical elements and three loops (D, anti-codon, and T loops). Lineage: Eukaryota; Metazoa; Arthropoda; Arachnida; Ixodida; Ixodidae. The record is from RNAcentral.